AUGAACGCUGGCGGCGUGCCUAAUACAUGCAAGUCGAGCGCACAGAUGAGGAGAUUGCUCCUCUGACGUUAGCGGCGGACGGGUGAGUAACACGUGGAUAACCUACCUAUAAGACUGGGAUAACUCCGGGAAACCGGAGCUAAUACCGGAUAAUAUAUUGAACCGCAUGGUUCAAUAGUGAAAGACGGUUUUGCUGUCACUUAUAGAUGGAUCCGCGCCGCAUUAGCUAGUUGGUAAGGUAACGGCUUACCAAGGCAACGAUGCGUAGCCGACCUGAGAGGGUGAUCGGCCACACUGGAACUGAGACACGGUCCAGACUCCUACGGGAGGCAGCAGUAGGGAAUCUUCCGCAAUGGGCGAAAGCCUGACGGAGCAACGCCGCGUGAGUGAUGAAGGUCUUCGGAUCGUAAAACUCUGUUAUUAGGGAAGAACAAAUGUGUAAGUAACUAUGCACGUCUUGACGGUACCUAAUCAGAAAGCCACGGCUAACUACGUG
Molecule: ribosomal RNA, 496 nt
Filed under: uncultured bacterium
Lineage: Bacteria
Description: partial 16S ribosomal RNA
Rfam family: Bacterial small subunit ribosomal RNA
Source: RNAcentral